GAUAGUAACUGGUAAACAUGUAUUCCAGCAUGUCUUCUGGAGCCCAGCUUCACUAUUUUCUAUGAAUUGACCAGUAAGUAAAUUAGUUUACCUGCAGCAGCCUUUAACCUGCACCCAGCAUGGACGAAAACACUUUGAAACUGCUGGUAAAGCUCACUCAGGAGGGGCAGUUAAACUCUCUGGAGAAACAGGUAGCAUCAGGUGGCUCUGUGGCUCUACAGACUGUCAGUAAUAAACACUUUGGUCGGUCAGGAGACACCUUGCUGCACUACGCUUCCAGAAAGGGACACUUGGACAUUGUGGAGUAUCUGAUAAAGCAGGUUGGCGUGGAUGUGGAGGUGUAUAACAACGACUACAAGAGGCCGCUGCACGAAGCUGCUUCCAUGGGCCACCAGGCUUGUGUUAGCUACCUUCUCCGGGAAGGUGCCAAGGUGGACGGUCUGAAGAAAGCCGACUGGACUCCCCUGAUGAUGGCCUGCACCCGCAGAAACCUCGCUGUGAUCCAGGAGCUGCUGAGCCACGACGCCGACCCUGCUCUGAGAAACAAAGAUGGCUGGAACUGCUUCCACAUCGCCUGCAGGGAGGGGGAUCCUCUGGUCAUACAGCACCUGCUUCUUAUCAGGCCGGACGUCUGGAGGACGGAGAGCAAGACGCAGAGGACACCUCUACACACAGCAGCGAUGCACGGCUGUGAGGAGGUUGUUAGGAUCUUGCUGGAGAGAUGUGUUUACACCCCCGACAGCCCUGACAGCUGUGGAGUGACACCUUUCAUGGACGCCGUCAGGAAUGGACACAUUUCGGUAUCCAGGCUGCUUUUAGAGAAGCACCAGGCGUCUCCAGCAGCAGCUGAUUCGGUCGGGGCUCAGGCGGUGCAUCAGGUGGCUGUUACCGGGCAGGAUGAGGCACUGCAGUUCCUGGUGAGGGAGCUGAAUGUCGACGUGAACCAGAGGACGACUGACAUCCAGCUUACUGCCCUGCACUACGCUGCAAAGGUGAGGAGGGCCACUCAUCUACUAUAAAAACACUGCUGGAGUUGGGGGCUGAUCUUCAUGUUCGGGACACAAAGGGAAGAACUGCUCUUCAUAUAGCGUGCAUCGGGCAGCGUUCAGAUGCAGCCAGGACGCUCCUGCAGCUGGGACUCACAGACUCAGAGGACACAUCUGGCACAACUGCACGGCAGCAUGCAAAGAAACCAGAUGUAGUCCAGGUGUUUGAAUGUGGAAUACCAGACCCAUCAUAGAGAAUACCAUACAGAUGCAUCUACUGGUUCUGUUACAAUAAAUAUUCAAGGUGACUUAAGUCAAGUUUGAGAAGACAACAAUAAAUCGUAACUUGUG
Molecule: RNA transcript, 1337 nt
Organism: Eleginops maclovinus (Patagonian blennie)
Lineage: Eukaryota; Metazoa; Chordata; Actinopteri; Perciformes; Eleginopidae
Gene: ankrd16
Gene name: ankyrin repeat domain 16
Exons: 7
Source: RefSeq, a predicted model, not a curated record